This 397-nucleotide ribosomal RNA is filed under the name uncultured bacterium. Its description in RNAcentral is "partial 16S ribosomal RNA". It matches the Rfam family "Bacterial small subunit ribosomal RNA", at positions 523 to 918 of the family's 1533-position model. The record is from RNAcentral.
AUACGUAGGGGGCGAGCGUUGUCCGGAAUGAUUGGGCGUAAAGGGCGCGUAGGCGGCGCGGUAAGUCUGGAGUGAAAGUCCUGCUUUCAAGGUGGGAAUUGCUUUGGAUACUGCCGCGCUUGAGUGCAGGAGAGGUUAUCGGAAUUCCCGGUGUGGCGGUGAAAUGCGUAGAGAUCGGGAGGAACACCAGUGGCGAAGGCGGGUAACUGGACUGCAACUGACGCUGAGGCGCGAAAGUGUGGGGAGCAAACAGGAUUAGAUACCCUGGUAGUCCACACUGUAAACGAUGAAUACUAGGUGUAAGAGGUAUCGACCCCUUUUGUGCCGGAGUCAACACAAUAAGCAUUCCGCCUGGGGAGUACGGCCGCAAGGUUGAAACUCAAAUGAAUUGGCGGGG